AUGAAGCUUCUCCCGGCCGUCCUCGGCCUCGCCUUCCUCCUCCUCGUCCUGAGUCCCAAUGGCGUGGAGGCCCGGCCUGCGUCUACCGGUGAUCAUGAGAAGAAGCCAUCGGGCGCCACCUUCUUUAUCUUCGGGGAUGACUUCGCUGACAACUGGAACCUCCCUCUGACCGACCCUAUCACCGAGAUGUCGCGGCAAUGGGCUUACCCCUACGGCUCCAACUACGCCGAUGCUGAUGGGUUUCUGCGGCCGAAUACCCCGCCCGGCCGCUUCUCAAAGGAGACAAUGCCGAGGAAGCGUAAAGGAGAUGGCGAUGGAAUCGAUGAGGUUCCUUCGAAAAAGGUGAAACGCCCUCCUCCGCGGAACAGAGCCUCACCCAGUUCGCUUCUUCUAGCAUGCAAGGACAUGAAUGAUGACAGGAAGGGUGCCAUUGAUGAUAUGGAUUUAACUAGCCUUCGAAACAUCCAAUGUGAUCAUCUAUUCAACAAUCUCAGUGUGUGGCUUGCUGAUCUCUACGACCCCAAUUCGCGUGAGGUGGUCGUACCAGGCCGAGGCAGGCUUCCGGUCAAUGAAGAAUACGUGCAUCGUGUUAUGGGUGUGCUGCGUGGAGGGAAUGAUGUCCCUUACAACCUCCCAUCUGAAACUGAUAUUGAGUUAGGGCUUGAGUUGUUUGGCGAGCUCGGAUAUGCCCCUAAAAUGACUGAUCUUGUUGAUCUCAUAAAGGGUUCUGAAAAUUCUGAUGACACUUUCAAGCGUAUGUGGCUUCUGCUUGCGGGGAAUACAGUCAUUGCCCCGACCACCUCCAACAAAGUUAGCCCCCGUUGGUAUGCUGUGCUGCGUGACAUCAAUGGUGUUAAGAAUCUCAAUUGGUCCAAAUUUAUUGCUGAUGAACUGCACAAGGUGCUGUUGAAACGCAAGCCUACCAGGGGUUGCCUUCUUUUCUACAAUCUGUUGUACAUUCAUGCGAUCGAUCUUUCUGGACUUGGCAUCGAACUGCCUGAUGGUCCUUUUCCCAUCAAUGUAUGGACAAAGAAGCUGAUAACUCUUGUCCUCAACAAGGAUGUUCAGGCUGACAAAGUUUCUUUUGGGAAACUACCGUUGAAGCCUGAGUUUGGCAUGAAUUUCUGUCUCUUUGGUGGUGUGGAAGGUCUUGACAAGUUUAUGCGUGUUCAUACUGCCCCAAGCUGCAGUGAAGAGAAAUUUGCCAAAUCAACUCAGAUAGUUGCUCUAUUCACGUCCGCCAUGGCUGGCAUCCUAGGCAAUCUUGUGGAAUCAUUCACCGCUUUAGAUGAUGAGGGCCAUUCACAUGCAUCUCGUCAGGUAGACGCUGGAUUGAACGUUAUCUCCUCUGCCGCCCGUAUGACGUCAAGGACUACGCGGUCAUCGCAAGGCAGGCGGACAGAAAGUGCUGGAAAGAAUGUGGCUGAAGAUUCUGACAGUGAUGACUAUCACGGAGGCGAUGAUUCUGAUUCUGACGCUGACUCCGAUGAUGAUGAUGAUGACUAUCGAGUUGUUCGUCGUCGCCCUAAAGAUCCUUUUGUUGCUUCAGGCAGUGGUACCGUGGAUGUAGAUAUGGGCAGCGGUCCAGCUGAUGAUGAGACCACACAUCUUGAUGCAUCCGUCGAAUCAGGUGAUCGAGGGCUUAGCCAGCAAGAGGCGCAAGAAGCUGAGGCUACCAUCACCCCCCCAUUCAGCUUCACCAACUGUGCCAUCACCCCCCGUCCAACUUCACCAGCUGUGCCUGCCAGCCCAUCGCAAAGGCCGUCUUCACCAAUUGCACUGUCAGCAUCUGAGAUUCAUGAAGCUGUGAAGAAAGUUGUGGUCCAGGAGCUUGGUAUACGCGUGGCUGAAAAGGGAACCGGUGCCUCCGUCCCACUGUCCACUUUGCGGAAGGAGGCCCCACGCAGGGCCCCCGGCAAACAAUCUGUUGCUGCUAAGGAUUCAGGGAUUGCACCAGUGAAAAGUGCACCUAUGAAAAAAGUUGCUGCUGCUAAGGGUUCUCCAAGUGAACCAGGAAAAAGUCGUUCAAAAGAUAAAAGUGCAGUGAAAAAGGUGAAAUUCGCCAAGACCAGAUCCUCUCCACGACUAAGGGCAACAUUGUCGCAGACAACGUCAUCGGAGACAACAGAAGUUAUCCAUCUUGAUGAAUCUCCCACGGCGACAUCUCCGUCUGAAAAAGCAGCAGCAUCUAGCGAGGGUGCAUCUGAUGCUGUUGCGGCGACAUCGGCUGGUGUUUCUGAUGACACUGUUUUUCAGCUAGCUGCAGCGGCAACUGUUACUGCUGCUGUUGAAGAUAUCGCCAGUGUGGCUGUAGCUAUUGAAUGCGAAAAUGAAGUCGUCCCUAAUAUAGCGCAUGAUGGAAGUGAAGCUGAGAAAGUUGUGGGAAGUACCAGAGACAAUAUGCCUACUGAUACGGCUAUAGCUGGAGGUGAAAAGAAUGAUGCCGAUAAUCCUGUUGUCACAGCAGUAGCUGACCAUGCACUAGAGUUGAGCACCCCUGGAGCUAGAAACUACGAUGGUAAUUUUAUGCCACCCAGCUGCUCUCUUAGGCUGGAUGACAUCUUUGGUGCGAGUCCUCAAGUGCCACCAUCUACUGAAGCAACUGCAACGGCUCAAGCUGCACCAAUGUUGGCUCAAGUACCACCUGCAGCACCAGAAGCACCUGCGGUGGCGCCAUAUGCUCAAGUACCACCUGCAGCACCAGAAGCACCUGUGGCGGCGCCAUCUGCUCAAGUACCACCUACAGAACCAGCUACUGGCCCUGACGUCGUUCUAGGGCUCGCAGCUCCUGUUGAUGCUGACUCGAAGGGCAAGGCAUUGAUGAAAGUUACCAAGGCUCAACCGGUUGCUUGGGCUCCGCCACCCAACAACUCUGGUAAGUGA
This 2883-nucleotide ribosomal RNA is filed under the name Triticum aestivum (bread wheat). RNAcentral's name for it is "partial small subunit ribosomal RNA". The record is from RNAcentral. Lineage: Eukaryota; Viridiplantae; Streptophyta; Magnoliopsida; Poales; Poaceae.